UACGGGAGGCAGCAGUGGGGAAUAUUGCACAAUGGGCGCAAGCCUGAUGCAGCCAUGCCGCGUGUAUGAAGAAGGCCUUCGGGUUGUAAAGUACUUUCAGUCGUGAGGAAGGUGUUAAGGUUAAUAACCUUAGCAAUUGACGUUAGCGACAGAAGAAGCACCGGCUAACUCCGUGCCAGCAGCCGCGGUAAUACGGAGGGUGCGAGCGUUAAUCGGAAUUACUGGGCGUAAAGGGCACGCAGGCGGUUAAUUAAGUUGGAUGUGAAAUCCCCGGGCUUAACCUGGGAAUGGCAUUCAAGACUGGUUAGCUAGAGUCUUGUAGAGGGGGUAGAAUUCCAUGUGUAGCGGUGAAAUGCGUAGAGAUGUGGAGGAAUACCGGGUGGCGAAGGCGGCCCCUGGGCAAAGACUGACGCUCAUGUGCGAAAGCGUGGGGAGCAAACAGGGAUUAGAUACC
RNAcentral lists this ribosomal RNA (454 nucleotides) under uncultured bacterium. RNAcentral's name for it is "bacterial SSU rRNA". It matches the Rfam family "Bacterial small subunit ribosomal RNA", at positions 340 to 786 of the family's 1533-position model. The record is from RNAcentral.